CCUGCGGCUUAAUUUGACUCAACACGGGGAAACUCACCCGGUCCGGACACUGGAAGGAUUGACAGAUUAAAAGCUCUUUCUUGAUUCAGUGGGUGGUGGUGCAUGGCCGUUCUUAGUUGGUGGAGUGAUUUGUCUGGUUAAUUCCGAUAACGAACGAGACUCUAGCCUGCUAACUAGUUCGCCGGCAGCUCUUGUCGCGCGGCGCCGCUUCGGCGGCAAACUUCUUAGAGGGACAGGUGGCGUUUAGCCACACGAAGUAGAGCAAUAACAGGUCUGUGAUGCCCUUAGAUGUCCGGGGCCGCACGCGCGCUACACUGAAAGAAUCAACGUGGAUGCCCACCUGCUCCGAGAGGAGUGGGAAACCCGAUGAAUCUCUUUCGUGAUGGGGAUUGGGGCUUGUAAUUGUUCCCCAUGAACGAGGAAUUCCCAGUAAGCGUCAGUCAUCAGCUGGCGCUGAUUACGUCCCUGCCCUUUGUACACACCGCCCGUCGCUACUACCGAUUGAAUGGUUUAGUGAGACCCUCGGACUGGAGUCCGUCCGCCGCUUUCGGGUGGUGGAUGGGGACGGAAAGACGGUCGAACUUGAUCAUUUAGAGGAAGUAA
RNAcentral lists this ribosomal RNA (603 nucleotides) under Lepetodrilus fucensis. Its description in RNAcentral is "SSU rRNA". It matches the Rfam family "Eukaryotic small subunit ribosomal RNA", at positions 1182 to 1785 of the family's 1831-position model. The record is from RNAcentral. Lineage: Eukaryota; Metazoa; Mollusca; Gastropoda; Lepetellida; Lepetodrilidae.